CGACUGGGACCGGGACUGGGACCGGGACUGGGACUGGGACCGGGGCGAACCUUUUGUCUUUUGUAAUUUUAUGCGACAAUUUUUUUCUCCAACUCUCGUUUCCCGCGCUCUCUCUCUCUCCGUCUCUCUGUAGUCUGCUCUAUCGGCCUUUCGGGUCUCGAAAGUAAAUUAGAAUAUGGCGGAUGGAAGAAGGAGGAAGGAGCCUACAAAGCAUUCAAAGAAUGCGGAGAAAAAGUAUUGAAUAACAUUUUGAUAUGCUUAGAAUUUGGUUCCAAUUCGGAUAUGGCAAAUGUCAACGGCAGCUGCGUGACUCUCCCCCCCGAACCCGAUUCCCCUUGAAACGGGAAAUGAAAUGAAAAGAAAAACGAAACGAAACGAAGCUCAAGUGCAAUUGAAUGGAAAUGAGAGCCACGCCCCUUACGAUUGGGCAAAAGGAAGAGACCGAAAGGAAGAAUUAUAAUAAUAAAAAAAAAGGAAAAGGAGCGAAAUAAAACUUGAGUCGCUGACCACGCAAAAC
Molecule: long non-coding RNA, 517 nt
Filed under: Drosophila guanche
Lineage: Eukaryota; Metazoa; Arthropoda; Insecta; Diptera; Drosophilidae
Source: RNAcentral